Molecule: long non-coding RNA, 1701 nt
Organism: Pogona vitticeps (central bearded dragon)
Lineage: Eukaryota; Metazoa; Chordata; Lepidosauria; Squamata; Agamidae
Source: Ensembl
AUGGAAGAGUCUCUGUUAUUGGACCAGAAUUUCCGCCACAAAGCAGAGAAGCUCCUUGGGAUUUUCCAAAGCGAACUGUUCCAGGCCCUCCUGGAUAUCCAGGAGUUUUACGAAGUCACGGUUUCGGACGCGCGUCCCACGACCUCGCGAAGGUCUCGGCCUAAGGUAGGUGCCUUUUCCCGUGGCUCUUUCCCUGCUUUUUUCUUUCUUUCUCUACCUGCUGUGUUCCAUGUGCUUCCAGAAGACUUGAUCCUGCUGUUCUUGGUGCCUCGGCUCACCCUUUGCCUGCAUGCCUCUGAGCAUGUGCAAAGUGUACUCUUCUGGCCAGCCCAGCCCCUGCUAGCCAUCACGUCUAUGGCUAGAGUCAGGGCUAAAUUACAAUUUCAUCUGUGCCUUUUUUCUAAGGGAGGGGAGUUACCUUGUCUAACCUCUCUUCCGGCUGCUUUCCCCCCCCCUCUCUCUCGCACACACACACACACAAUCUCUUCCGGCUGCUUCCCCCCCCCUCGCACACACACACACACAGACACAGACACAGACACACACACACACACACACACACACACACCUUUGCACCAGGGCUGGCCAACCUGCAUGAACAAGGCAGAUCAAAAGGUUUAUGGAUGCCGACAAAGAAAAACCAGGAGGCUAGAAGAUAUUUCAAGGGAAUGAGGCUGUCCAUUGGCUUAGCCUGAAAGUUCUGGGGCAUGCUACAUAGCUAGGGGAUUCUGGGCACUGAAGUCCCCAAAUACAUCUCUUUUCAAGCUGUAAAACGUACUCGGCAAGCCUGAGGGCUGUGGUUGUUCUUCCGGCUUCUUCUCCCUUCUCUGCUACUCUUUUCCCGCUUCUCAGGCCGGUCUGUGUCCUCUCCAGAACGGGGUGCAGAUUUGUGUUGCCUUGUUGGUUUGGGCUACAACUCCCAGGACUUUCCCUGUGUCGAGCCACAUCUGUGGCCUCGGGGCGAGUGGCGUGGUGGUCCUAGAGUACCCCGAAGGGAGGGAUUGGAAACCACUUUGGGGGGGGCUUCGUAUCUGGAAAACGUCACAAGUCAGAAUCGAGGUGAGGAUGCAGCUGCCUUUUUUGAGAAGACAAACAUAAACACAGCCUUUGCUGGUUCCUUGGCUAUUGGGGGGUCGGGGGCGUCAACUCUCUGAAGCCCCAGCUAGCUUGGCCAGUGGUCAGAGACUCGGAGAAAUUGGGUAAAGCAAUGUGUUUGGGGCGGUGUUGGUCAACCCAAGGUCAAGCAGCUUGAGAUCGUAGUGUUCCCUUGAAGUUCUUCUUCGUGGCCUCUGUGAAUGCACACAAAGGGGUUUUACUGAGUCUGCACAGGACUCUUCGGAAUAUUCUAGAGCUUAAAAAGACUAGUAGGAUGUUGCCCCGUGGCGCGCAUGCUCUGCCCACCCGUAAUACCUCAGUUCCUUUUAGCUGCAGCUGAAAUCGGACUUCUUUGGGAAUUAGAGCUUGUGAUUUGUGAUUUUUAUCAAUGGCAUUUUGAUCUCUGGACUGUUUACGGCUUUCGAUUAUUGGAUUUCAGACUCAAUCAAGUUUUUUAUUUACAGACGUUUCCCUGUGAGUUGUUUUUUUUCCUUAUUUCUCUCAUUUUUCCCCCUCCCCACCUUCCCGCCCCUUUUAAAUGGCCUCCUCAGGUCCAUUCAAACACUGCACGACAUGUGCCAAUAAAAUUCCUUUUACGGACGGCCA